CUACGGGGGGCAGCAGUGGGGAAUAUUGGACAAUGGGGGAAACCCUGAUCCAGCAAUGCCGCGUGUGUGAAGAAGGCCUUAGGGUUGUAAAGCACUUUCACCCGUGAAGAUGAUGACGGUAGCGGGAGAAGAAGCCCCGGCUAACUCCGUGCCAGCAGCCGCGGUAAUACGGAGGGGGCUAGCGUUGUUCGGAAUUACUGGGCGUAAAGCGCGCGUAGGCGGCGCAUCGAGUUAGGCGUGAAAGGCCUGGGCUUAACCUGGGAACUGCGCUUAAUACUGGUGUGCUUGAGUCCGGAAGGGGGUGGCGGAAUUCCCAGUGUAGAGGUGAAAUUCGUAGAUAUUGGGAAGAACACCGGUGGCGAAGGCGGCCACCUGGUCCGGAACUGACGCUGAGGUGCGAAAGCGCGGGGAGCAAACAGGAUUAGAUACCCUCGUAGUC
Molecule: ribosomal RNA, 439 nt
Filed under: uncultured bacterium
Lineage: Bacteria
Description: partial 16S ribosomal RNA
Rfam family: Bacterial small subunit ribosomal RNA
Source: RNAcentral